This 886-nucleotide ribosomal RNA is filed under the name uncultured bacterium. RNAcentral's name for it is "bacterial SSU rRNA". It matches the Rfam family "Bacterial small subunit ribosomal RNA", at positions 8 to 862 of the family's 1533-position model. The record is from RNAcentral.
AGAGUUUGAUCAUGGCUCAGAAUGAACGCUGGCGGCGUGCUUAACACAUGCAAGUCGUACGAGAACGCUCUAGCUUGCUAGAGCAAGUAAAGUGGCGCACGGGUGAGUAACGCGUGGGCAAUCUACCUUCGAAUUGGGGAUAACGUCGCGAAAGCGACGCUAAUACCGAAUAAUAUCCAUGAAUCCUCGGAUUUUUGGAUCAAGGGUGGCCUCUUCUUGAAAGCUACUGUUUGAAGAUGAGCCCGCGUACCAUUAGCUUGUUGGUGGGGUAAUGGCCUACCAAGGCGACGAUGGUUAGCUGGUCUGAGAGGAUGAUCAGCCACACUGGAACUGACACACGGUCCAGACUCCUACGGGAGGCAGCAGUGAGGAAUUUUGCGCAAUGGGGGAAACCCUGACGCAGCAACGCCGCGUGAGUGAUGAAGGCUUUCGGGUCGUAAAGCUCUGUCAAGUGGGGAAGAACCUAUGCAGUGUUAAUACCACUGUAUACUGACGGUACCACUGAAAGGAAGCACCGGCUAACUCCGUGCCAGCAGCCGCGGUAAUACGGGGGGUGCAAGCGUUAUUCGGAAUCAUUGGGCGUAAAGAGCACGUAGGCGGCUUGGUUAGUCAGAUGUGAAAGCCCGGGGCUUAACCCCGGAAGUGCAUUUGAUACUGCCAAGCUUGAGUAUGGGAGAGGGAAGUGGAAUUCCUGGUGUAGAGGUGAAAUUCGUAGAUAUCAGGAGGAACACCGGUGGCGAAGGCGACUUCCUGGACCAAUACUGACGCUGAGGUGCGAAGGCGUGGGUAGCAAACAGGAUUAGAUACCCUGGUAGUCCACGCAGUAAACGUUGAUCACUNNGGUGUAGCGGGUAUUGACCCCUGCUGUGCCGCAGUUAACGCAUUA